UGGGGUAUAGCCAAGCGGUAAGGCAGCGGUUUUUGGUACCGCCACCCCUAGGUUCGAAUCCUAGUACCCCAGCCA
This 75-nucleotide transfer RNA is filed under the name Pseudomonadota bacterium. RNAcentral describes it as "tRNA-Gln". It matches the Rfam family "tRNA". Rfam says of the family: Transfer RNA (tRNA) molecules are approximately 80 nucleotides in length. Their secondary structure includes four short double-helical elements and three loops (D, anti-codon, and T loops). Lineage: Bacteria; Pseudomonadati; Pseudomonadota. The record is from RNAcentral. RNAcentral also lists the same sequence under 2 other names.